UUGAAACGCCGGUACUCAUUUGAUCAUCGAAUUUAAACAACGUCGAGCAUGUUUAGUACCUAGAUGGGUGACCUCUUGGAGAUACCACGUGCUGUAAG
Non-coding RNA from Acanthosepion pharaonis, 98 nucleotides. Lineage: Eukaryota; Metazoa; Mollusca; Cephalopoda; Sepiida; Sepiidae. The record is from the annotation of a GenBank genome assembly.